UACGGAGGGUGCAAGCGUUGUUCGGAUUUAUUGGGCGUAAAGGGCGUGUAGGCGGUUCGUUAAGUCUGAUGUGAAAGCCCCGGGCUCAACCCGGGAAGUGCAUUGGAAACUACCUGGCUCGAGGGUUGGAGGGGGGACUGGAAUGCUUGGUGUAGCAGUGAAAUGCGUAGAUAUCAAGCGGAACACCAGUGGCGAAGGCGAGUCCCUGGACAACUCCUGACACUGAUGCACGAAAGCUAGGGGAGCAAACAGG
This 253-nucleotide ribosomal RNA is filed under the name uncultured bacterium. RNAcentral describes it as "partial 16S ribosomal RNA". It matches the Rfam family "Bacterial small subunit ribosomal RNA", at positions 524 to 776 of the family's 1533-position model. The record is from RNAcentral.